GUGAGGAAUUUUCCGCAAUGGGCGAAAGCCUGACGGAGCAAUGCCGCGUGAAGGAUGAAGGCCUAUGGGUUGUAAACUUCUUUUCUCAGAAAAGAAUUAUGACGGUAUCUGAGGAAUAAGCAUCGGCUAACUCUGUGCCAGCAGCCGCGGUAAGACAGAGGAUGCAAGCGUUAUCAGGAAUGAUUGGGCGUAAAGCGUCUGUAGGUUGUUUAAAAAGUAUUCUGUCAAAGAUUAGGGCUUAACCCUAGAUAGGCAGAAUAAACUUUUAAGCUAGAGUUUGGUAGAGGCAGAGGGAAUUCCCGGUGGAGCGGUGAAAUGCGUAGAUAUCGGGAGGAACACCAAAGGCGAAGGCACUCUGCUGGGCCAAUACUAACACUGAGAGACGAAAGCGAGGGGAGCAAAUGGGAUUAGAAACCCGAGUAGUCC
RNAcentral lists this ribosomal RNA (426 nucleotides) under uncultured bacterium. Its description in RNAcentral is "partial 16S ribosomal RNA". It matches the Rfam family "Bacterial small subunit ribosomal RNA", at positions 354 to 796 of the family's 1533-position model. The record is from RNAcentral.